UGUUGACUGUUGGAAACAGGCCUGUGUUCUUUGUUCCCUCUCAAAGCAGAUGUGGUCUCCAGGUCGUAUGUGUGAUUUGUCAUGGUCAAAAGAGGGAGGCCCAGGGAACACUGGUGAACUGUGGAGAAGACAUGAACAGCUGAAGAGUUGAAUCAGAAAUGACUGGUUGGCCACAUCUUUUGCAAGCAGGUGACAUCUGCAAACAUCUAAUGGAAAACUGCAGUGGCAUUUCUGUCAGGGCAAGCACCCAGCCAGGGGUCACAGCUCUGCCAGUCUGUCCCAGACUGCCACACCCAUUCAGACCGUCUCAAAGCCGGACACUUGGGACUUUUAAGGCCCUGAUGAGCCCUGUGAGCACAGCAGUAACAAAACCUCCAAUCACAGCUGCUCCGACCAACCAAGCCCAGAUCUGACGGGCUUGCUGAAGAUAGGGUGUCAAAAAGUCUUGGAAAGACUGAAGGGCUUGAAAAAUCAAACAGAAAAAUAAAGAACAUUUAACUUGAUGCAAUGUACUGUCAGUUUAUGGAAGCUCUAUAAUAGAUAAUACUGGAAGGCUGAGUAUAAAGAGGCAAGUUUGGUAGAGAUUAUCUGAGAGCCACAAAUAGUUUUAAACAAAUCACUUCAGCCCUGAUAGUCUGUUUCUCAAUCUUCACGUCCAAGGCUGGCACAGAGUUCACUGUCCCUAGUGCUCCUCACAGUUUUGUCAAAACUUCAGACUGUAACCCAAGAAGUUUGAUAUUGUGUGACCAAAGGUCCUGCUAGCUCAGCAUCCUUCGGCAAUAAUAACUGAGGCAGAACACUAGGGAGAGUUUAAGAAAAGGUCGAGUCUAUUACAAUGUUUCCACAAAAUACUUACACAGCCUCCAAAAAUUUUCAGGUCAGAGAAUUCCUA
Long non-coding RNA from Hirundo rustica (Barn swallow), 892 nucleotides. RefSeq lists it as uncharacterized. The transcript is spliced from 4 exons. Lineage: Eukaryota; Metazoa; Chordata; Aves; Passeriformes; Hirundinidae. The record is from RefSeq and is a predicted model, not a curated record.